Non-coding RNA from Pelobates cultripes (western spadefoot toad), 456 nucleotides. NCBI's taxonomy places the organism in Eukaryota, Metazoa, Chordata, Amphibia, Anura, Pelobatidae. The record is from the annotation of a GenBank genome assembly.
AUAUAUAUAUAUAUAUAUAUAUAUAUGUAUCUUUUCAGCAGAUUUUUCUGUGCAUAGAUACAAAGUAAUAAAAUAAACUAUAGCAAAGUCUUACCGUCUGUACAAAUUGAUGGAGAAAGAAACUGAUAGAACUGCUGAGCAGAUGAUCAGAUUAUGGUGAGGCAAGGAAGGGAAUUAAUUGGACAGAUAGGAUUGUGGGAGCCAGAUCAGGAAACUGGUGACAUUGACUAUAUAACAAUGUGUGACCGCCACAGAGCCAUGCGUUCUCUCACAAAUGCAAACAUUGCCAUUUCUCUGGUAACAGCAAUGUUUACAUUAACAGAAUAAAAGGACAACAUCUAUAAGCACCAAGACCACUAAAUCUUAAUGUAGUGGUUUUGGUCUACAAUGUCCCUUUCAGUUGUUACAUUUACCGGUAUGUCUUGUCCACCAUUGAACAGCGAAUACAAUAUGUUG